UAGACUUUUGGCAAUCUAUAGAGAUCUGGCAGAACGCCGGCGCUGACAAAUGAAAAGAAAGCUUUGAUGAGCUCCUGGGGUUGUUGGGCACCCGUUUACAACGUCAGGACACCUUCAUGCGGGACAGUAUACCACCAGCGGAAAGACUGAUUAUUACUUUGCGCUAUUUAGCUACAGGCCAAUCUUUGAUCAGUCUUCACUCCACCUUCCAGAUCGGGAAAUCCACAGCCAGUGUGAUCGUGAAGGAAACCGUCAGCGCCAUUUGUCAGGUCCUUCAUGCUGUUGUGAUGGGCCAACCAAACAAGGAGGAGUGGCUGAAAAUUGCGGAUACUUUUCAAAAAACCUGCAAUUUCCCGAACUGUGUAGGAGCAAUUGACGGAAAACACAUCCGCGUUCUGAAGCCAAUGAGGAGUGGCAGUCAGUUCUAUAAUUAUAAAAAAUACUUUUCUGUUGUUCUUUUUGCGGUAUGUGAUGCUAACUAUUGUUUCCGUAAUAUCGAUGUGGGUUCCUAUGGCAGCAGCUCUGACUCUGCUGUUUUUGGGCAUUCUGACUUUGGUCAAAUGCUCAGUACUAAUGCCCUUGACCUUCCCGGGAACACCACACUGCCUGGCACCACUUAUCCAUCUAUGCCAUUUGUUUUUGUUGGUGACGAGGCAUUUGCUCUAGGUGAGCAUCUUAUGAGGCCAUACUCCAGCCGUAGUCUCUCCAUUGCGCGACGUGUUUUUAAUUAUCGCCUUACAAGAGCAUGCAGGGUGGUGGCGCAUUCGGCAUAAUAGCCAACAAAUGGCGAGUUCUGCACGCACCCAUAAAUCUCAAAUUGGAGACCGCCAUCUCGGCUGUGAAGGCAGCAUGUGCUCUUCACAAUUUUGUCCGAGAAAGAGAUGGCUUAAAUUUUGAGGAUUCGUUGAGCCAUUCCAUGAAGAGUCAGAUUCGCAGCGGUGUUCGUGGGACCACACAUGGUGCCGCCAUUCGGGACCGCUUCACUGCUUAUUUUAUGUCACCACAGGGGGAGUUACCUUGGCAAAUGCAAGCCAUAUAAAUUUAUAUUAUUUAGUCUUUUGCAGCUGCAAAGAUUGUUUCUUUAACUUGUAAUAUUCCAUUUUCUUUGUUUAUUGUAAUGGCUGAAUUAAAAGAUUUGAAGAGUGAA
Molecule: long non-coding RNA, 1147 nt
Organism: Bufo gargarizans (Asiatic toad)
Lineage: Eukaryota; Metazoa; Chordata; Amphibia; Anura; Bufonidae
Exons: 3
Source: RefSeq, a predicted model, not a curated record